UUGAACUUUUAUGGUUUGUAUAAAAUAGGUCGCAAUUAUCGGUAUUAGGGGGCACGGGAAAGUUCAAGAAUGCAAGGGGGUUUGCUUAACUGAUAGCAUUUAUCUGUCAAAGUUUUAAUGUUUGGUACACUUAAGUGUCUAUUUUUCUCCAAGGUUUUUAAAUUGGACCUUUCAUAACUAUCAUGUUUUUAACUUUCCUAAAACUAUCACAACCUAGAUCAAUGUGAAUUGUCGAGUUUCUUGUCAUCAAACAUUAGAACAAUCACUUGAAUCAUUGUACAAUUGUAUGAAAAUUAUCCUUAUGAUUUCAUGUUCUUGCUAGAUGAACCAUAUCCCUCUACAACUCUGAUUCAAUAUUUCAAAGUGCUAUACACAAAGAUCAUAACUUGAGCUACUAGGAUCGGAUUGAUGCGUUCUAAUAUGCGUUGGAAAGUUGAGAGGAUAAGCUAAAAGUUUCAUGUUGAAGUUAGAAGCUGAUUCGGAGUGAAGAAGAGUCGAAUAAUUCAUUUUAUUUCCAGACUUAAGAAAAUACUUAGUUUUUUUGGUUGAUUUUGUAUUUUUUCGGAUCGGUUGCUAUUAGGCCCAAAUUCCCUUCCUCUAUUUAAACAACUUAGUAGUUCUAGGAUGAGGGGGAUUCAGAAUUCAUGAAAUAAAGAAUAGGGCAUAUGAAUACCAUGGAGAGCUAAUUCCCAAAUAGUUGAUCUGCUGCAUUCGAAUUUCAUUUUGAGGUUUUUAUUAAUUUCAGUUUAAUUUCAAUUUCUUUUCAA
This is a long non-coding RNA of Lathyrus oleraceus (garden pea), 767 nucleotides long. RefSeq lists it as uncharacterized. NCBI's taxonomy places the organism in Eukaryota, Viridiplantae, Streptophyta, Magnoliopsida, Fabales, Fabaceae. The transcript has 2 exons. The record is from RefSeq and is a predicted model, not a curated record.